UACGUAGGGGGCAAGCGUUGUCCGGAUUUAUUGGGCGUAAAGAGCGUGUAGGCGGCUAUACAGGUCCGCUGUGAAAACUCGAGGCUCAACCUCGAGACGUCGGUGGAAACCGUAUGGCUAGAGUCCGGAAGAGGAGAGUGGAAUUCCUGGUGUAGCGGUGAAAUGCGCAGAUAUCAGGAAGAACACCCGUGGCGAAAGCGCUCUACUGGGCCAUAACUGACACUGAGGGACGAAAGCUAGGGGAGCGAAAGGG
RNAcentral lists this ribosomal RNA (253 nucleotides) under uncultured bacterium. RNAcentral's name for it is "partial 16S ribosomal RNA". It matches the Rfam family "Bacterial small subunit ribosomal RNA", at positions 524 to 776 of the family's 1533-position model. The record is from RNAcentral.